Molecule: ribosomal RNA, 311 nt
Filed under: uncultured bacterium
Lineage: Bacteria
Description: bacterial SSU rRNA
Rfam family: Bacterial small subunit ribosomal RNA
Source: RNAcentral
GACGAACGCUGGCGGCGUGCUUAACACAUGCAAGUCGAACGCUGAAGCCUGGUGCUUGCACUGGGUGGAUGAGUGGCGAACGGGUGAGUAACACGUGAGUAACCUGCCCCUGACUCUGGGAUAAGCACUGGAAACGGUGUCUAAUACUGGAUAUGAGACGCGGCCGCAUGGUCGGCGUUUGGAAAGAUGUAUCGGUUGGGGAUGGACUCGCGGCCUAUCAGCUUGUUGGUGAGGUAAUGGCUCACCAAGGCGACGACGGGUAGCCGGCCUGAGAGGGUGACCGGCCACACUGGGACUGAGACACGGCCCAG